AACGAACGCUGGCGGCGUGUUUAAGACAUGCAAGUCGCACGGGAUCAUUUUGGUAGUAAUACUUGAAUGGUCUAGUGGCGCACGGGUGAGUAACACGUGAAUUACAUGCCCUUCAGUGGGGAAUAGCCCAGGGAAACUUGGAUUAAUACCCCAUGGUAUCGCAAGAUUAAAGGUGGCCGCAAGGCUGUCGCUGAAGGAUUGGUUCGCGCCCUAUCAGCUUGUUGGUGAGGUAACGGCUCACCAAGGCUACGACGGGUACCUGGUUUGAGAGGACGAUCAGGCACACUGGAACUGAGACACGGUCCAGACACCUACGGGUGGCAGCAGUCGAGAAUAAUUCACAAUGGGGGCAACCCUGAUGGUGCAACGCCGCGUGGAGGAUGACGGUCUUCGGAUUGUAAACUCCUGUCAUCCGGGAGUAAGACCUGGCGAUUAACAGUCGACAGGGU
Molecule: ribosomal RNA, 449 nt
Filed under: uncultured Luteolibacter sp.
Lineage: Bacteria; Pseudomonadati; Verrucomicrobiota; Verrucomicrobiia; Verrucomicrobiales; Verrucomicrobiaceae
Description: bacterial SSU rRNA
Rfam family: Bacterial small subunit ribosomal RNA
Source: RNAcentral